GCCCCCGUAGAUCAGCGGUAGAUCAUCUUCAUUUCAUAGUAGCGAUCAGAGAUGUUAUGAAGACGUCGUAGGUUCUAAUCCUACUGGGGGCA
Molecule: non-coding RNA, 92 nt
Organism: Mycena leptocephala
Lineage: Eukaryota; Fungi; Basidiomycota; Agaricomycetes; Agaricales; Mycenaceae
Source: the annotation of a GenBank genome assembly